UCGCAUCCGCCAUCCGGUUCAGCCGUGUCGCGGAAGGUUUUUCAACCAGCCCAAGCCUCCUCCAGGGAGGCGGAGAGUAGCG
Ramlibacter tataouinensis is the source of this 82-nucleotide regulatory RNA element. It matches the Rfam family "SucA RNA motif". The record is from Rfam. NCBI's taxonomy places the organism in Bacteria, Pseudomonadati, Pseudomonadota, Betaproteobacteria, Burkholderiales, Comamonadaceae.